This 484-nucleotide ribosomal RNA is filed under the name uncultured bacterium. RNAcentral describes it as "partial 16S ribosomal RNA". It matches the Rfam family "Bacterial small subunit ribosomal RNA", at positions 30 to 507 of the family's 1533-position model. The record is from RNAcentral.
AUUGAACGCUGGCGGCAGGCCUAACACAUGCAAGUCGAGCGGAUGAAGGGAGCUUGCUCCUGGAUUCAGCGGCGGACGGGUGAGUAAUGCCUAGGAAUCUGCCUGGUAGUGGGGGAUAACGUCCGGAAACGGGCGCUAAUACCGCAUACGUCCUGAGGGAGAAAGUGGGGGAUCUUCGGACCUCACGCUAUCAGAUGAGCCUAGGUCGGAUUAGCUAGUUGGUGGGGUAAAGGCCUACCAAGGCGACGAUCCGUAACUGGUCUGAGAGGAUGAUCAGUCACACUGGAACUGAGACACGGUCUAGACUCCUACGGGAGGCAGCAGUGGGGAAUAUUGGACAAUGGGCGAAAGCCUGAUCCAGCCAUGCCGCGUGUGUGAAGAAGGUCUUCGGAUUGUAAGGCACUUUAAGUUGGGAGGAAGGGCAGUAAGUUAAUACCUUGCUGUUUUGACGUUACCAACAGAAUAAGCACCGGCUAACUUCGUG